AUACGGAGGAUCCGAGCGUUAUCCGGAUUUAUUGGGUUUAAAGGGUGCGCAGGCGGGAGAUUAAGUCGGCGGUGAAAUUCUGCAGCUCAACUGUAAAAGUGCCUUCGAAACUGGUUUCCUUGAGUGUAGAUGAAGUAGGCGGAAUUUGUGGUGUAGCGGUGAAAUGCAUAGAUAUCACGAGGAACUCCGAUUGCGCAGGCAGCUUACUAAACUACUACUGACGCUCAGGCACGAAGGCGUGGGGAUCAAACAGGAUUAGAUACCCUGGUAGUCCACGCAGUAAACGAUGAUUACUAGCUGUUUGCGAUACAAUGUAAGCGGCUGAGCGAAAGCGUUAAGUAAUCCACCUGGGGAGUACGUUCGCAAGAAUGAAACUCAAAUGAAUUGACGGGG
Molecule: ribosomal RNA, 393 nt
Filed under: uncultured bacterium
Lineage: Bacteria
Description: partial 16S ribosomal RNA
Rfam family: Bacterial small subunit ribosomal RNA
Source: RNAcentral